Molecule: ribosomal RNA, 253 nt
Filed under: uncultured bacterium
Lineage: Bacteria
Description: partial 16S ribosomal RNA
Rfam family: Bacterial small subunit ribosomal RNA
Source: RNAcentral
UACGUAGGGGGCUAGCGUUGUCCGGAUUUAUUGGGCGUAAAGAGCGUGUAGGCGGCCAGAUAGGUCUGCUGUGAAAACUCGAGGCUCAACCUCGAGAUGUCGGCGGAAACCAUUUGGCUAGAGUCCGGAAGAGGAAAGUGGAAUUCCUGGUGUAGCGGUGAAAUGCGCAGAUAUCAGGAAGAACACCCGUGGCGAAGGCGGCUUUCUGGGACGGUACUGACGCUGAGGCGCGAAAGCGUGGGGAGCAAACAGG